RNAcentral lists this signal recognition particle RNA (267 nucleotides) under Clostridium oryzae. Its description in RNAcentral is "Bacterial large signal recognition particle RNA". It matches the Rfam family "Bacterial large signal recognition particle RNA". From Rfam's summary of the family: The signal recognition particle (SRP) is a universally conserved ribonucleoprotein involved in the co-translational targeting of proteins to membranes. Archaeal SRP consists of a 7S RNA and homologues of the eukaryotic SRP19 and SRP54 proteins. The record is from Rfam by way of RNAcentral. Lineage: Bacteria; Bacillati; Bacillota; Clostridia; Eubacteriales; Clostridiaceae.
CCGUGCUAGAUGGGGAGUUAGCGGUGCCCUGUAACCUGCAAUCCGCUGUAGCAGGGUUGAAUUCCUCAUUGAGGCUUUAAACCUGUAGGAUCUGGCUUGUGUAAGUGGUGUUGAUAAUUGGGUCCCACGCAACGAAAAUCUAUGAACCCCGUCAGGUCCGGAAGGAAGCAGCGGUAAGUAGACAAUUUCGUGUGCCGUGGAAUAGCCUGAUUUGAGCUAACUGCACAAGUAACGCUUAUAGGUUUUUAGACGAUUUGAGGUGCACGG